AGAGUUUGAUCAUGGCUCAGAACGAACGCUGGCGGCAGGCUUAACACAUGCAAGUCGAACGCCCCCGCAAGGGGAGUGGCAGACGGGUGAGUAACGCGUGGGAAUCUACCCAGAUCUUCGGAACAACUGAGGGAAACUUCAGCUAAUACCGGAUACGCCCUACGGGGGAAAGAUUUAUCGGAUCUGGAUGAGCCCGCGUUGGAUUAGCUAGUUGGUGAGGUAAUGGCUCACCAAGGCGACGAUCCAUAGCUGGUCUGAGAGGAUGAUCAGCCACACUGGGACUGAGACACGGCCCAGACUCCUACGGGAGGCAGCAGUGGGGAAUAUUGGACAAUGGGCGAAAGCCUGAUCCAGCCAUGCCGCGUGAGUGAUGAAGGCCUUAGGGUUGUAAAGCUCUUUCAGUAGGGAAGAUAAUGACGGUACCUACAGAAGAAGCCCCGGCUAACUUCGUGCCAGCAGCCGCGGUAAUACGAAGGGGGCUAGCGUUGUUCGGAUUUACUGGGCGUAAAGCGCACGUAGGCGGAUCGUUAAGUCGGGGGUGAAAUCCUGGAGCUCAACUCCAGAACUGCCUUCGAUACUGGCGAUCUUGAGUCCGGAAGAGGUGAGUGGAACUCCUAGUGUAGAGGUGGAAUUCGUAGAUAUUAGGAAGAACACCAGUGGCGAAGGCGGCUCACUGGUCCGGUACUGACGCUGAGGUGCGAAAGCGUGGGGAGCAAACAGGAUUAGAUACCCUAGUAGUCC
RNAcentral lists this ribosomal RNA (741 nucleotides) under uncultured bacterium. RNAcentral describes it as "bacterial SSU rRNA". It matches the Rfam family "Bacterial small subunit ribosomal RNA", at positions 8 to 796 of the family's 1533-position model. The record is from RNAcentral.